This 500-nucleotide ribosomal RNA is filed under the name uncultured bacterium. RNAcentral's name for it is "partial 16S ribosomal RNA". It matches the Rfam family "Bacterial small subunit ribosomal RNA", at positions 30 to 523 of the family's 1533-position model. The record is from RNAcentral.
AUUGAACGCUGGCGGAAUGCUUUACACAUGCAAGUCGAACGGCAGCACGGGGGCAACCCUGGUGGCGAGUGGCGAACGGGUGAGUAAUACAUCGGAACGUGCCCAGUUGUGGGGGAUAACUACUCGAAAGAGUAGCUAAUACCGCAUGAGAACUGAGGUUGAAAGCAGGGGAUCGUAAGACCUUGCGCAACUGGAGCGGCCGAUGGCAGAUUAGGUAGUUGGUGGGAUAAAAGCUUACCAAGCCGACGAUCUGUAGCUGGUCUUAGAGGACGACCAGCCACACUGGGACUGAGACACGGCCCAGACUCCUACGGGAGGCAGCAGUGGGGAAUUUUGGACAAUGGGCGAAAGCCUGAUCCAGCAAUGCCGCGUGCAGGAUGAAGGCCUUCGGGUUGUAAACUGCUUUUGUACGGAACGAAAAGCUUCGGGUUAAUACCCUGGAGUCAUGACGGUACCGUAAGAAUAAGCACCGGCUAACUACGUGCCAGCCGCCGCAGUAA